RNAcentral lists this transfer RNA (77 nucleotides) under Chloroflexota bacterium. RNAcentral's name for it is "Chloroflexi bacterium tRNA-Val". It matches the Rfam family "tRNA". Rfam says of the family: Transfer RNA (tRNA) molecules are approximately 80 nucleotides in length. Their secondary structure includes four short double-helical elements and three loops (D, anti-codon, and T loops). Lineage: Bacteria; Bacillati; Chloroflexota. The record is from RNAcentral.
GGGCGGUUAGCUCAGUUGGUUAGAGCACCUCCUUUACAAGGAGGGGGUCGUUGGUUCGAGUCCAAUACUGCCCACAA